GGGGGGGGCAAGCGUUUGUUCGGAAUUACUGGGCGUAAAGGGCGCGUAGGCUGUCCCGCAAGUCUUUCGUGAAAUCCCACAGCUCAACUGUGGAAUUGCGAGAGAAACUGCAGGACUUGAGUUCGGGAGAGGAGAGUGGAAUUCCCAGUGUAGCGGUGAAAUGCGUAGAUAUUGGGAGGAACACCGGUGGCGAAGGCGGCUCUCUGGACCGACACUGACGCUGAGGCGCGAAAGCUAGGGGAGCAAACGGGGAUUAGAUACCCCGGUAGUCCUAGCCCUAAACGAUGAGCACUUGGUGUGGCGGGUAUCGACCCCCUGCCGUGCCCGAAGCUAACGCAUUAAGUGCUCCGCCUGGGGAGUACGGUCGCAAGGCUG
This 375-nucleotide ribosomal RNA is filed under the name uncultured organism. Its description in RNAcentral is "partial 16S ribosomal RNA". It matches the Rfam family "Bacterial small subunit ribosomal RNA", at positions 527 to 896 of the family's 1533-position model. The record is from RNAcentral.